AUCCUUCAAACCUUCCCCCUCAGUACUCCGUGUGGGAGGAGGGAGGGGCGACUGCUACAGGCACAUUGUUGAUGUCCUCCCUUCUCCUGGCGAUCCCACUCCUCACCCUUUCCUCUCCAGCUGCUGCGGUCUCCAUCGCCGAGGUGGGUCCCAGGACCUAAGCCGCGCCGCACAAGGGUCAAGUCCGGCGGCCUGCUCCCUCCUACCUGGCCUCUGCUAGCCACGACUCCCCACCCGCAGCCUUCCUAGACCCCUCACCUGCACGGUCUCCUGCGAGGCCAACAGCUCCUGCUCCUUUUCAGCGAUCUGGAGGACGAAGCUCGGGUCGCCCUGCAACGCCUGGUUAUACGCCGGAGGCCGAGGCGCCGGCGGCCGUACCCCGCUGGGGUGGGAAGCAGCUUAGCGGAGGCUUGGACCUCGGGCCCUACACUCACCCUUCCAGUGCCCUCGACCAGGCCUUCCCUUCUCCCCCUCUAGCCCCUUUCGUGCCUCAAGCUCAGCCUACCCUGCCCCCCAACCCCAGCUGUGUGCAGAGAUCACCAGCCUGAUGAAGUCGGGAACUCCCAGCUUCUUUACCUGAGCUGACCCUCUCCCUGGGGGUCCAGGGCACCUUCACCUCGGGCCUUCUGGGAUAAACCUGAGACAAGGCAAGUGGAGGAAUGACUGUGCUGGAGUCUCACUUUCCUGCUUCCCUGGCCCCAGUUCCACUCUCACAAGCGACAGGAAGAAGGACAGAAGGAAAGCUCCACUGGGGAGGAAGAAAUGGAAAAGGCCACCUUACCCACAUCCAUGUAGCCACUGCCAUCCUGGGGAGCCAGCUCCUGAAAGAACCCCGGGGUCCGCUGUGAGCCCAGGCUCAGUCAUCCCCAAGGAGCCCUAUGUCCCUUCCACCGGCCCCCAGGCCAGACUCUAUUAGCCAAGCACCCCUCCCCCACACUUAUCACCCAGGCUGGCCUUUCUGUGGUCCGGGGAGUGCCCCCCACCCAGCCCCCAGAGCAGUGGGAGAAGCUCGAGCGGGGUGGCACCUGUAAGGAGCCAGUGCCCUGCUUCCUGCGCCUCUGCCUCUCCUCCAGGCGCUGCCUCAGCGGUAUAAGCACCAGCUCCACCACACCUGGGGCGCACUCUGCGAUCUUGCGCAUCACGUCAUCCGGUACUGAAAAGUUCAGCCUCUUCAGCACCUUCCUGAGGGGUAGACACAGGGAUAGCGGAUUGGGUCCUGGGGAAAUGAAGCGAGGGGACGGGGGAGAGGGAAGGGGGCAUGGUGGUUGCAGUUCUGAGUGCACAGCCCUGGGGGAGUGGAAGGGCAUUGCAUCUGAGCUUCCUUGUGUGGGUGUACCGAGGUUCCUUGCCUCCUUCCGAAUAGAAUAGUCUUUUCAUUUUGUAA
Macaca mulatta (Rhesus monkey) is the source of this 1384-nucleotide long non-coding RNA. RefSeq lists it as uncharacterized. The record is from RefSeq and is a predicted model, not a curated record. Lineage: Eukaryota; Metazoa; Chordata; Mammalia; Primates; Cercopithecidae.